AUGCAGUUCUUUGUAAUUUUCAGUUUCACAAGGGCAUGUUUUUCUCCAGUGUUCAUACUGGUACAGUGGACACAGGGUGCAGGUGCGAAGCCCAGGACCUUCUACUCUCCAGCUAAUUUAGAGCCUUCAGGGAGAACUACUGGGGAGUUCCGACGACUAUUGGACUUUGUCGCAGGUGGGGAGACCCCCGGGAAGAUGGACACCAGGAAAGCAGGACCCUCCACAGGUAAAAUGGAUUCAGUUUGCUGUGACAGGGAUAGUAAUGACAGGCCUCUCCUUCCUCAACCUCACUGCAGGAUAGAUGGUACUCUUCUCUCUAGCUCUGGAGGGUUAGGAAGACCUGACCGUGCACACGCUGCCGCUGGAAUGGACAGCCCCAUGCAGGCACUGAGCAGGCUCUUAUAUAGCCUUUUUGGCAGGAAAAACUGGUUCUGUCUGGUUUGAGCCAGAGGACUCCAGUGUCUAAGUUGCAAACAACUUUGCUUACAAGGAUGGAGUCCAAGGGUCAUAGUUCAUAUACUCCAUAUUAAAUUCUAUUAAAGCUAGUGAUUCACUUAACAUUACCUUAGAAAUACAUUAUUAAAACUAAUUGAACAUAUUAAACAACACCAACAUUUCUUACUUCUUUAUACCUAACAUAUGUAUGCAUUCUAGCCAAGCUGGUAGAAAAAGUUUUGCCAGUUGUUUCUUAGGUGGAAGUCCUCUUGCAUACUUUAGAGACAUUAGCUGCUGGCUUACCAAACCUAUAGUAUCUAACAGAAAAAGUAGUACAUGCAGCAUUAACUGUGUGGUGGAUUUACAUGCAUACAGUAUGUCAAAUUUUCACUGACAGGAAAUAUAUUACAGGAAAAGGUAUCAUAGAAUAUCAGGGUUGGAAGGAACCUCAAGAGGUCAUCUAGUCCAACCCCCUGCUCAAGGCAGGACCAAUCCCCAGACAGAUUUUUGCCCCAGAUCCCUAAAUGGAUCCCUCAGGGAUUGAGCUCACAACCCUGGUUUUAAGCAGGCCAAUGCUAAAACCACUGAGCUAUCCCUCCCCCCUUUAUCUUGCGCAUCAAGAGAAAAUAUAGGGGCAGAUCCUCAGCUGAGGGGAAUCAGCAUAACUCCUUCGAUGUCUCUGGAAUUACGCUAAUUUCCACCAACAGAUGGUCUGACCUAUGAUUUCUAACGUCACCCAUAUAACAUCAUACAAGCAACUACAGGACUAUUUGACUGUACUUAGAACAAUGGAUAGAAUAUAGCCAAAACCACUGAAAACGUACAUUUCAACAAACGUGGUUGGUUUGUAUUUUUUAAACUUAGAAAAGUCUUUUUGUAAUGGAAGAGGAGGCUUACUUUUGUCUGCAUAGAAGAAAGUCCCACCUCUGUAUUGUGGCCCUACAAAUAUUAAAUUAUGAGUCAUUCUUCUAAAUAAAACUUCAUGCCAUGCUGGAAAAUGUAUCA
This 1440-nucleotide long non-coding RNA is filed under the name Chrysemys picta bellii (western painted turtle). RNAcentral describes it as "lncRNA (ENSCPBG00000026913.1)". The record is from RNAcentral. Lineage: Eukaryota; Metazoa; Chordata; Testudines; Emydidae.